AGGACAAAUUCCUAUCGUUUUUCUCCCCGUAGGGAGGUUGAGGAACCCGUGCUGGGAACCACCGGUGCCCGCCUCUUUGUUAUUACCGGCACCCCAAUUGAUGACCGCUGUUAUUGGGCCUAAAGCUUCCGUAUCUGGCCAGACAAGUUCAUCGGGAAAUCUGCGCGCCUAACGCGCAGGCGUCCGGGGGAAACUGCCUGGCUUGGGACCGGAAGACCAAAGGGGUACGUCUGGGGUAGGAGUGAAAUCCCGUAAUCCUGGACGGACCACCGGUGGCGAAAGCGCCUCGGGAAAACGGAUCCAACGGUGAGGGACGAAAGCUCGGGUCACGAACCGGAUUAAAUACCCGGGUAGUCCAAGCUGUAAACAAUGUCUGCUAGGUGUGACACAGGCUACAAGCCUGUGUUGUGCCGUAGGGAAGCCGUGAAGCAAACCGCCGGGGAAGUACGUCCGCAAGGAUGAAACUUAAAGGAAUUGGCGGGGGAGCAAAA
This 491-nucleotide ribosomal RNA is filed under the name Natrialba sp. AT7. Its description in RNAcentral is "bacterial SSU rRNA". It matches the Rfam family "Archaeal small subunit ribosomal RNA", at positions 391 to 881 of the family's 1478-position model. The record is from RNAcentral. Lineage: Archaea; Methanobacteriati; Methanobacteriota; Halobacteria; Halobacteriales; Natrialbaceae.